Molecule: ribosomal RNA, 2402 nt
Filed under: Actinomyces sp.
Lineage: Bacteria; Bacillati; Actinomycetota; Actinomycetes; Actinomycetales; Actinomycetaceae
Description: partial 23S ribosomal RNA
Rfam family: Bacterial large subunit ribosomal RNA
Source: RNAcentral
GGACGUGAUAAGCUGCGAUAAGCUUCGGGGAGUUGCACGUAAACUUUGAUCCGAAGAUUUCCGAAUGAGGAAACUCACUUAGAGUAAUGUCUAAGUAUCAUUAAGUGAAUACAUAGCUUAAUGAGGGGAACUCAGGGAACUGAAACAUCUAAGUACCUGAAGGAAGAGAAAGAAAUUCGAUUCCGUAAGUAGCGGCGAGCGAACGCGGAUUAGCCCAAACCAAUAAAGUUUUCUUUAUUGGGGUUGCGGACAUAUCAUAACGAAGAGGUAUCGUAAUUGAAGAGGUUUGGAAAGACCCACCACAGAAGGUAAUAGUCCUGUAUGUUAAACGAGAAGACUUUAGAUAUGAUCCAGAGUACCACGGGACACGUGAAACCCUGUGGGAAGCAGGAGGGACCACCCUCCAAGGCUAAAUACUACCUAGUGACCGAUAGCGUAUAGUACCGUGAGGGAAAGGUGAAAAGAACCCCGGGAGGGGAGUGAAAUAGAACCUGAAACCCUGCACUUACAAGCUGUGGAAGCACAUUUCUUGUGUGACCGCGUACUUUUUGUAGAACGGGCCAACGAGUUACGUUAAGUAGCAAGGUUAAGCACUUAAGGUGCGGAGCCGUAGCGAAAGCGAGUUUUAACUGAGCGUUCAGUUACUUGACGUAGACCCGAAACCGGGCGACCUACCCAUGAGCAGGAUGAAGCGAAAGUAAAAUUUCGUGGAGGUCCGAACCCACGAGCGUUGAAAAGCUCGGGGAUGACUUGUGGGUAGCGGUGAAAUUCCAAUCGAGCCCGGAGAUAGCUGGUUCUCCCCGAAAUAGCUUUAGGGCUAGCCUCAAGGUGAGAGAUACGGAGGUAGAGCACUGAAUGUCCUAGGGGGUAUUGCACCUACCGAAGACUAUCAAACUCCGAAUGCCGUCAUCUUAUACUUGGGAGUCAGACUGUGGGUGAUAAGAUUCAUAGUCGAAAGGGCAACAGCCCAGAUCGUCAGCUAAGGUCCCUAAAUGUAAGUUAAGUGGUAAAGGAUGUGGGAUUGCACAGACAACCAGGAUGUUGGCUUAGAAGCAGCCACUCAUUCAAAGAGUGCGUAAUAGCUCACUGGUCGAGUGAUCCUGCGCCGAAGAUUUCCGGGGCUAAAACUUACUACCGAAGCUACGGCAUCAGUAAUGAUGGGUAGGGGAGCUUCCCAUACGGGUUGAAGCAUGACCGUAAGGACAUGUGGACAGUAUGGGAGUGAGAAUGUUGGCAUGAGUAGCGAGAUGUGGGUGAGAAUCCCACAGGCCGUAAACCCAAGGUUUCCAGGGGAAGGUUCGUCCGCCCUGGGUUAGUCGGGACCUAAGCUGAGGCCGAAAGGCGUAGGUGAUGGACAACAGGUUGAUAUUCCUGUACUACCGAUAACCGUUUGAGAGAAGGGAUGACACAGUAGGAUAAGCUAAGCACACUGUUGGUUAUGUGUGCCCAAGCAUUGAGGCAGUCAAAGUAGGCAAAUCCGCUUUGAUAAUGCUGGGAUGUGAUGGGGAGCGAAAUUUAGUAGCGAAGUAGCUGAUUUCACACUGUCAAGAAAAGUCUCUAUCGAGGUUAAAGGUACCCGUACCGCAAACCGACACAGGUGGGUGAGGAGAGUAUCCUAAGGCCAGCGAGAGAACUGUUGUUAAGGAACUCGGCAAAAUGACCCCGUAACUUAGGGAUAAGGGGUGCCACCAUCAGGUGGCCGCAGAGAAUAGGCCCAAGCGACUGUUUACCAAAAACAUAGGUUUCUGCUAAGUCGCAAGACGAUGUAUAGGAGCUGACGCCUGCCCGGUGCUGGAAGUUCCGACCCGCACGAAAGGCGUAACGAUUUGGGCACUGUCUCAACAACAGACUCGGUGAAAUUGUAAUUCCGGUGAAGAUGCCGGAUACCUGCGACAGGACGGAAAGACCCCAUGGAGCUUUACUGUAGCUUGACAUUGGGUCUUGGUACUACAUGUACAGGAUAGGUGGGAGGCUUUGAAACCAGGACGCCAGUUUUGGCGGAGCCAUCCUUGGGAUACCACCCUUGUAGUACUGGGACUCUAACCAUAGGCCAUGAAUCUGGUCUUGGGACACUGUCAGGUGGGCAGUUUGACUGGGGCGGUCGCCUCCCAAAAGGUAACGGAGGCGCUCAAAGGUUCUCUCAGUACGGUCGGAAAUCGUACGUAGAGUGUAAAGGCAAAAGAGAGCUUGAUUGCAAGACAUACAGGUCGAGCAAGGAUGAAAAUCGGACUUAGUGAUCCGGUGGUUCUGCGUGGAAGGGCCAUCGCUCAACGGAUAAAAGCUACCCUGGGGAUAACAGGCUUAUCUCCCCCAAGAGUCCACAUCGACGGGGAGGUUUGGCACCUCGAUGUCGGCUCAUCACAUCCUGGGGCUGUAGUAGGUCCCAAGGGUUGGGCUGUUCG